GUUUCUUAUUUAAUAAGACGGUUGGUUACAUCUAUAGAUGCCAUUGAUCCCUGCUGCCUUUGUUAAACAUAUGCAUGUCCAUGAGUGGACCUACCAUGCUAUUUCUACUAUUUUGGAAGUCAUGUUGAUGAAGGUUCUUUCUUGCUCAUGGAUCUGAUGUUGAAGUCUGUCAUUCACCCUGUCAGCUGAGACCAUGUAGAUGCAAGAGUUCUGUGUUGCCAACAUGAAGAAUGUUAAUUUUAUGAUCACAACUACCAGUGAAACCAUGUUGUUAUCCAUUCUACAUGAUGCUGCCUGAAACCAUGUGGAUUUAAUUGAUCCUUGCUGUCUGUUAACCAUAUGGAUGUCUAUGAUCAGAACUACAAAGCUGCUACUUCUGGAAGCAACGUUGAUGCUCAUGAUCUUCUUACCACUGGACACCAGGUUGAUUUCCAUGAUCUCUCCUGUUAUGUGUGAUCAUGUUAAGGUAAGUGUUCCCUUUUGGCAAUGUGUAGAAUGGUAAUUCCCAAGAUUUAACCACAUGUUGAUAACUAAGCAGAUAUCCAUAAUUCAUGCUGCCACCUGCACCCACACUGAUGCCAUUGAUCCCUGCUGCCUCUGUUAACCCUAUUGAUGUCUAUGAAUGGACCUCCUAUGCAUUCCUAUUGUUUCAGUAAUCCAUGUUGAUGCAUAUGGUCCAUUUUACCACUGGAUAGUGUCCUGAUGGCUAAAAACUCUCUGUCCCCAUAUGACUAUAUUUGGGUAAGUGUUCUAUGUUACAAAUGUCAAGAAUGUAAAUUUCUAAGAAUUGAUCUACCAACUGAAACUAGUAUGAUAUCCGGAAUGCAUGCUGUCACCUCUGAACAAAUUGAUGUCAUUGAUCCCUGCCAUGAAACACUUGGAUGUCCAGGACUAUCCUACGAUGCUAUUCCUACUAUUUCUGGAAGCCAUGUUGAUGCCAGGGUUCUUUUUUGCCCAUGGGUCUGAUGUUGAUUUUCAUCAUCUGUCCUGCUACCUGAGACCAUGUUGAUUCAAGAGUUCCAUCUUGCCAAUAUGAAGAGUGUUGAUUUCCCUGUUGACAGCUACUAGCAUCUUAAACCAUGUUGCUGUCCAUUCUACAUGCUAUCACCUGAAACCAUGUGGUUUAAUUGAUCCCUGCUGCCUCUGUAAACUGUAUGGAUGUCCAUGACUGGAACUAGAGUGCUAUUCCUACUAUUUCUGGAAGCAAUGUGAUACGAUUUUUUAAACCACUGGACACCAGGUGGAUUUCCAUGAUCUCUCCUGCUACCUGUGACCAUGUUAAGGUAAGUGUUGCUUGUUGCCAAUGUGUAGAAUGUUAAUUCCCAAUAUUUAUCCAAACAGUGGUAACUAAGCUGAUAUCCAUAAUUCGUGCUGCCACUUCCUACCAUGCUGCUGCCAUUGAUUCCUGCUGCUUCUGUUAACCCUGUUGAUAUCAGUGGGCCUCCAAUGCAUUCCUAUUGGUUCUAAAGCCAUGUUGAUGCAUGUGGUCCUUGUUUGCACAGGAUAACAUCUUGAUGGCCAUGACCUCUCCUUUUCCUUAGGAGCAUUGUUUGUUUCCUUAGGUAAGUAUUGUUUGUUUCUAAUGUGAAGAGUUUCAGUUUCCAAGAAUUGAAAUAUCAGCUGAAACUAAGUUGACAUCGGAAUGCAUGCUGCCAUCUCAAACAAGUUGAUGUCUUCUCUCCUUGCUGUGUCUGUUAAACAUUUGGAUGACCAUGAGCAGACCUAUCAUGCUAUUCCUAUUAUUUCUGGAAGCCAUGUUAAUUCCAGGAUUCAUUCUUGCCCAUGGAUCUGAUAUUGAUGUCCAUCAUCUGUCCUGUUACUUGAGACCAUGUUGAUGCAAGAGUUCUGUGUUGCCAACAUGAAGAAUGUUAAUUUCCCUGAUCUCAGCUACCAUCUAAACUAUGUUGCUGUCCAUUCUACAUACUGCCACUUGCGAUCAUGAGGAUUUAAUCGAUCCCUGCUGCCUCUGUUAACCAUAUGGAUGUCCAUGAUCAGAACUAGAGUGCUAUUCCUACUACUUCUGGAAGCAAUGCAAUACUCAGGAUCUUCUUACCACUGGACACCAGGUUGAUUUUUAUGAUCACUCCUGCUACUAGUCACCACCUUAAGGUUCCUUGUUACCAAUGUGUAGAAUGGUAAUUUCCAAGAAUAACCAACUGUUGGUAACUAAGUUGAUAUGCAUAAUUCAUGCUGCCACCUGCCCCCAUGCUGAUGUCAUUGAUUAGUGCUGCCUCUGCAAACCCUGUUGAUAUUAAUGAAGGGAUCUCCCAUGCAUUCUUAUUGCUUCUGCAAGCCAUUUUGAUGCAUGUGGUCCUUUUUACAAUGGGAUAACAUCUUGAUUGCCAUGAAUUCUCUACCCCUAUGACCUCUCCUUAUUAUUAAGGUAAUAAUAUUAAGGUAAGUGUUCUCUGUUGCCAAUGUGAAGAAUGUAAUUUCCAAGAAUUGAAAUACCAACUGAAACUAGUAUGAUAUCCUGAAUACAUGCUGCUACCUCCACACAAGUUGAUGUCAUUGAUCCCUGCUGACUCUGUUAAUCAUGUGGAUGUCCAUGAUUGGAACUACAAAGCUAUUCCUACUCCUUCUGGAAGCAGUGUUGAUGCUCAUGAUAUUCUUACCACUGGACACCAGGUGGAUUCCAUGAUCUCUCCUGCUACCUGUGACCAAGUCAAGGUAAGUGUUCCUUCUUGGCAAUGUGUAGAAUGGUAGUUUUCAAGAUUUAACAUUGGUAACUAAGCAGGUAUUUAUAAUUCAUGCUGCCACCUGCUACCAUGCUAAUGCCAUUGAUCCUUGUGCCUCUGUUAACCUUGUUGAUGUCUAUGAAUGCACCUCCAAUGCAUUCCUAUUGGUUCUGUAAGCCAUGUUGAUGCAUGUGGUCUUUGUUGCCAUGAGAAAUAUCUUGAUGGCCAAGACCUCUUUGGCCCCUUAUGACCAUCUUAAGUUAAGUGUUCUGUGUUGCCAAUGUGAAGAAUUUCCAAGAAUUGAAAUACCAGCUGAAACUCAGUUGAUAUCCAGAAUACUUGCUGCUACCUCCAAACAAGUUGCUGUCACUGAUCCCUGCUGCCUCUGUCAAUCAUGUGAAUGUCCAUGAGUGGACCUGCUAUUUCUGGAAGCCAUGUUGAUGCCAGGGUUCUUCUUGCCCAUGGAUCUGAUGUUGAAGUCCAUCAUCUGUCCUGCUACCUGAGAACAUGUUGGUGCAAGAGUUCUGUCUUUCCAACAUGAAGAAUGUUAAUUUCCCUGAUCUAAACUACCAUUGGAAAAGAUGUGGCUAUCCAUUCUACAUGCUGCUACCUGAAACCAGGUGGAUUUGCCCUGCUGCCUCAGUAAACCAUAUGGAUGUCCAUGAUCAGAUUAUGCUAUUCCUACUACUUCUGGAAACAGUGUUGAUGCUCAUGAUCUGCUUACCACUGGACACUAGGUUGAUUCCAUGAUCUCUCCUGCUACCUGUGACCAUGUUAAUAUAAGUGUUGCUUGUUGCCAAUGUGUAGAAUGUUAAUUUCUAAGAUUUAACCAAGCAUUGCUAAGUAAGCAGAUACACAUAAUUCAUGCUGUCGCCUGCACCAUGCUGUUCCCUCUGUUAACCCUGUAGAUGACCAUGAAUGGACCUCUCAUGCAUUCCUAAUGGUUCUGUAAGCCAUGUUGAUGUAAGUGGUCCUUGUUACCAUGGGAUAACAUCAUGAUUGCCAUGACCUCUUUUGCCUUGUAUGACCAUAAUAAAUUUUCUGUGUUGCCAAUGUGAAGAAUGUAAAUUUCCAAGAAUUGAAAUACCAACAGAAACUAAGUUAAUAUCCUAAAUGCAUGCUGCUCCUGCUAAAUAAGUUGAUAUCGUUGAUCCCUGUUGCAUUUGUUAAACAUGUGGAUGUUGGUGAUCAGAAGUACAAGGCUAUUCCUACUGCUUCUGGAAGCAAUGUUGAUGUUCAUGAUCUUCUUACCACUGGAUACCAAAUUGAUUUCCAUGAUCUCUCCUGCUAUGAGUGACCAAGGUAAGUGUUCCUUGUUGCCAAUGUGUAGAAUAGUAAUUCCCAAGAUUUAAUGAACCUUUGGUAACUUAGCAGAUAUUCAUAAUUCAUGCUGCCACCUGCACCCAUGCUGAUGCCAUUGAUCCCUGCUGCCUCUGUUAACCCUGUUGAUGUCUAUGAAUGGACUCUCAUGCAUUCCUAUUGGUUCUGAAGCCAUGUUGAUGCUUGUGGUCCUUGUUUCCAUGGGAUAACAUCUUGAUGGCCAUGAUCUCUCUGGCCCCUUAUGAACAUAUUAGUGUUCUAUGUUGCCAACAUGAGGAAUAUAAAUUUCCAAGAACAGAAAUACCAACCAAAACUAAGUUGAUAUCCACAAUGCAUGGUGCCACCUCCAAACAUGUUGAAGUCAUUGAUAUCUCUCCUGCCUCUGUUAGACACAUUGAUGUUUAUGAUUGGAAUUAUAAUGAUAUUCCUACGACAUUUGGAAUCCACGAUGAUGCCCAUUAUUUUUGUACCAGUAGAUACCAUAUUGAUUCCUGUGAUCUCUCCUGCUGUCUUUGACCUUGUUAAAUUAUAUAUUCUGUGCUGCCAACAUGAAGAAUGUUAAGUUCCAAGAUUUAACCAUUGAAAUGUUAAUUUCCAAGAUUUCAUCAGUCUUGGAAACUAAUUUUAUAUUCAUAAUCCCCGGUGUAACCUGCAUCCAUGGUCAUUUUAUUGAUUCCUGCUGCCCCUGUUAACCAUGUUGAUGUCGAUGAUCAGAACUUCCAUGCUAUUCCUAUUGGUUCUGGAAGCCAUGUUGAUGGCCAUCGUACCACUUGUUACCACUGGAAAACAUCUUGAUAUGGAUGACCUGUCUGGACACUGGUGACUAUAUUAAGGUAAAUGUUCUGUGUUACCAGUGUGAACAAUGUAGAUUUGCAAGAAUUAAACUACCAUCUGAAACUAAGUUCAUACCCAUAGUUCAUGCUGCCCGCAGACAAGUUGAUGCCAGUGUUCCCGCGGCCUCUGUUAAGCAUUUUGAUAUCCACGAUCAGAUAGUCCAUGGAGUUCCUACUAUUUCUGGGAUCCAGGUCAAUGCCUGUGGUCCUUCUUACUCCUCGAUAGGAAGUUUAUGCCCAUCUUUCCUGCCAUUGUGUUGCCAAUGAGAAAAAUGUCAAUUUUCAAAAUUUAAUCUACAAUCUGAAAAUAAGUUGAUAUCCAUGUUUCAUCCUGCCACCUGCAACCACAUUGAUGUCAUUGAUCCCACAUGCCUCUGUUAACCAGAUUGAUGUCCAACAUAGGACCUACCAUGCUAUUCCCACUAUUUCUGGAAGCUAUGUUGAUGCCUGUGGUCCUUCUUAUCACUGCAUACAUUGUUGAUUUCCAACAUCUCUCCUGCCCCUUGUGACCACAUUAAAGUAAGUGUUCUGUGUUGCCAAUAUGCAAAUUGUUAAUUUCCAAGAUUUAACCCACCAUCCAAAAGUAAGAUGAAAUCCAUAAUUCAUGAUGCCUCCUGAAACCAUGUUGAUGUCUUUGAUUCCAAGUGCCUCUGUUAAUCAAAUGGAUGUCCAUUAUGGGAUGGACCUACUAUGUUAUUCCUAUUUCUGGAAGUCUUGUUGAUGCUUGUGGUCUUUCUUACCCAUGGAUAUGACAUUGAUGUCCAUCAUCUCUUCUGUCACCUGAGACCAUGUUGAUGCAAGAGUUCUGUGUUGCCAUCAUGAUGAGUGUUAAUUUCCGUGAUCUCAACUACCAUGUGAACUAGGUUGAUAUCUAUAGUACAUGCUGCCACCUGUAAUGUCAUUGAUGUUCCUGCCGCCUGCUGCCUCCUUUUCCAUGUUGAUGUCUAUCAUGAGCCUUACCAUGCCAUUCCUGUUGGUUUGAAGGCCAUGUUGAUACCUUGUGUUACGUUUUGCUCUUGGGUAAGAUGCUGAUGUUGAUGGUCUGUCCUGCCACCCAAGACCAUGCUGAGGUAAGUUUUCUGUGUUGCCAACAUGAAGAAUAUUGAUUUCCAUGAGUUGAUCUGAACCUAAGUUGAUAUCUGCAAUUCAUUCUGUCCUUGAACCAUGUUGAUAUCACUGAUCCUUGCUCCUUUGUUUAUCAUGUUGAUUACCACGAUCUGACCGACCAUGCUGCCUCUACUGCUUCUGGAAGCCGUGUUGAUGCCUGUGGUCCUUGGUACCCCUGGAUGUGAUGUUGAUGUUCCGUCCUAACUCCUGAAUCCAUGCUGAGGCCACCAUAUUGAUGUCACUGAUCCUUGCUGCAUGUUUUAACUAUGGUGAUAUCCAUGAUCCAACCCUCCAUUCAAAAUUUUGGUGAUGUCAUAGAUCCUUCUGACUUCUGAGACCAUGUGGUUGUCCUUGUUCCAUCCUGAUACCAGUAACCAUGCUGCUGUCCCUCCUCUAUGCUGCCGCUGUUAACCAUGUUGGUGUCUGGGGUUUGAUCUGCCCCCCAAGCUGUGUUGAUAUCGCUGAUUUGUACUGCCACUGGCGAACAUUUUGACGUCUCUGAUCCUUGCUGCCUGUUAGCUAUGUUGCUGCCCAUGAUCUGCCCCACCACUCAAUCCCUGCUGUUUCCGGAAGCCAUGGUGAUGCCUGUGGUCCUUGUUGCCCCUGGAUACGAUGUUGAUGUCCAUGUUCUGUCCUGACACUUGAGACCACACUGAGGAAAUCAUGUUGAUGUCACUGUUCCUUGCUGCAUCUUCUAACCACGUUGAUCCAACCUACCGUCCAAAACUUUGUUGAUGUUACCGAUCUGUUGACAUCUGUGUUCUGUGCUGCCACCAAAAACCACGCUGGUGUUCAUGGUCUGGACUGCAUGUUGAGGACCAGUUGGAUAUCCAUGACUCAGAUUCUGAUGGAGACUGUGUUGUCAUCUGUGGUCAGUACUGCCACAAGAAGGCAUCCUGGUGUUAGUGAUCAGUGAUGCCUCCCGCAACAUGUUAUGUUGGUGAUCUGUGUUGAAGUUAGGGACCAGAUGGAUGUCAGUUAUCCAAGCUGUCACCAGAAAUCUUGAGGACCAUGACCUGUGCUGCUGCUGGAAAGCAUGUGGACGUCCGUGAUCUGUACUGCCACUGACAUUUCUUGUCAAAGAAGCUUCUUUUGUAGUAGUAUCCAUGGCUGCAGAAUCAUAACUGAAAUGACGACAUCGAAGGCUUCUGUGCCACCCUCUCCAAAAGAAACACUCUAGACAGGACCUUACUGAAGAGAGCCCUUGAAAAUUGUAAUAAAGAUGCUUAAUUGUAGCUCUUCA
Long non-coding RNA from Peromyscus leucopus (white-footed mouse), 7181 nucleotides. RefSeq lists it as uncharacterized. Lineage: Eukaryota; Metazoa; Chordata; Mammalia; Rodentia; Cricetidae. The record is from RefSeq and is a predicted model, not a curated record. The transcript has 4 exons.